Transfer RNA from Galdieria sulphuraria, 87 nucleotides. It matches the Rfam family "tRNA". Rfam says of the family: Transfer RNA (tRNA) molecules are approximately 80 nucleotides in length. Their secondary structure includes four short double-helical elements and three loops (D, anti-codon, and T loops). The record is from Rfam. Lineage: Eukaryota; Rhodophyta; Bangiophyceae; Galdieriales; Galdieriaceae.
GGACCCGUGGCCUAAUGGACAAUCAUCAGGGUCUCAGGCGAUGGACUUCUAAUCCAUAGAUUGCGGGUUCGAGUCCCGCCGGGGCUG